Molecule: ribosomal RNA, 70 nt
Filed under: Cylindrotheca sp. RCC4850
Lineage: Eukaryota; Bacillariophyta; Bacillariophyceae; Bacillariales; Bacillariaceae
Description: partial 5.8S ribosomal RNA
Rfam family: 5.8S ribosomal RNA
About the family: 5.8S ribosomal RNA (5.8S rRNA) is a component of the large subunit of the eukaryotic ribosome. It is transcribed by RNA polymerase I as part of the 45S precursor that also contains 18S and 28S rRNA.
Source: RNAcentral
UAGUACAACUUUCAGCGGUGGAUGUCUAGGUUCCCACAACGAUGAAGAACGCAGCGAAAUGCGAUACGUA